UUUCUUAUGUAGGGAUAGAAUAAGCCUCAACCUUUCAUACCAUUAAGUAUUAAAAAAGGAGUUACUGCCAUUACAUUGGCGUUGCGUGGGCGUAUAGCUACACUUAGCUUUACAACUUUUCAUAGCGAAUGAGAUGUCAAGUCUUUCGUAUUGUGUUGAGUACAUUGAUGCGUCUAAUUGUACUUAGAUAGAAACUCCAUCUCUUAACACAUAUUUGUCAUUUUGCUUUAGACAAAACAACGGAUCUCUCUUUAGAGUAAAGACUUUGACUAAUCAUGGGAGUAUAUGUAGGCCUCACUUUCGUAAUAGCGCCUAAGCCGAUUGAUGGAAAAUCAUCAUCAAUACAGUCAUCGAGUGUUUUAUCGAGACCGUGUCUUCCGAAGAUCUUUUUCUUCGGAUGUUGAUACAUAUUGGCAUCUCUUGAUCUAUCAAGAGUCCAUGUAAAUCCGGAAUGAACACGCAAAGGCAUAAUUCACCAUAUCCCUUCCAAAUCAAGUAGAGUCCAUGUGCGUUUCAAUACAUUUAGCAAACGCAUGCUCCUAUGGUCUGGAGCCACUUGCUUUGGAUGAAUGAAGUCCAUUUAAAAUCUUCAUGUAUAUCUCUGAUCCCAAAGAGAUGUUAUUAUGACCACAUUCAUAGGCUGCAUGUUCAGUUAUUCGGAAACUACCAAACUGACAAAGUAGUGGAGUGCAAUGACAUCCAUUACGAAAGCAUAUCUCAUCGUAGUCGAUCUCAGUGCAUGUUAGUGAGAGACCUUGCGCCAUAAGGUGAGUCUAAGCUCUUGUUCUCACUACGCUAUCUAACAAAGGUAUAGUUGAUAGGGUUUAGCUUGCGGUGUCAGCAUCACCUGCCCAAUGACCUAUCUCUUUGUUAUGCUGGAUCACAUCUUUCCAUUAGGCCAAUCAACUAAGUUGAUAUCCAUCAACGAAGGGUGGUUCGAUAGUAGACUCAUUAUCCCACGUCCUCAUGUACACUAGUGUAAUACUUGUAGAGAUCUCUAUAUGGAUUGGAUUUGACAUUGAGGCGUCCCUCAACGAUAAUCACAAUUUAGACUUCAUGAGACGGAUUUGAGUAUCACUGAUCAAUGGAUCAGGUUGUGCCAAGCUCGCUUUCUUCCUAGUACGAGAAUAUAUCGAACCUAAGGGCCUCCCUCCUUUUGGGGAGCCACACGGCAUUGUGACACCAAUUUUGCCACUAUAUGGCGUCACUAUAUCACCAUCCAUGGUGAUGGCGUCAAGACCAACACAUUUUGGUCGCGUCAUGUCCUUUUGAUAGGACAUCAAUCCUUACAGACAUAUUUGCAGCAUGUGAUCUCGUCACUUUAACACUUUAAGCAUUUGGGAUCAAGAUGAGACUUAGUGGGGACAAACCACAACAAUUCAUGUCGUUCCACUUGAACACUUGUGUUCUUAUCUCCCCCUAACGGCGGGAAUAUUGUCUCAUCAAAGUGACAAUCCACAAUUUAGCGGUGAAUGAGAUUGCUUGACAAGGUUUCUACAUAUGCGGAUUUAUAGGUAGAGGUUCACAUCCAACCUAAAUACUUAUUCAUCUCAAAUGACCCAUCAUUGUACGUAGUGGCAAUGCGAUUUGGCACCUAGAAAUAACAUCUAGCCGAGCUCAGGGAUUGGAGAUCCAUUUCAAUCUUGUUUGAGAUCAAGGAUUGCAAUCCUGAUACACAGUCACGAGCUGUAGUACAAAAAUAUUCAAUGAUGGUGGGUCGUAGAUGAAUUGUAAAGCUGCAUGCAAAUAUUGCAUAGCCCCAAGACGCAAUAGAAAAAUUGGUGCACAUCAAUAAUAUUCAAGCGACAAGCUAAAGUUGCUUAGUCGUAGUCUCGGUGAGACCGUAUUGCGUGUGAACAUGGGGUACAGGACACUUCAACUUACAUCCCGAUAAACUUAUUUAAAGAAUGGGUAGUGAGCCCGUAGAAGUAUAAGCAACAUAAACAGUAGAUAAUAGUGUAACACGUGACCAGUGUGCUAACACUUCAACCAACACCAUAAAGCAUAAAAGGUGUCCGCAAGUUGGUUGUAUCUAUCUACAUAGUUUGAUGUAAGAAUAGAAUGUUCACUUUUGUGUCAUUUAGCGUAGGAGGGUCUCACUCCUAAUUUAGCUAAAGAAUAGGCUUUCAAAACGAGGAAUGAGCAUUGCAGGGGGUCAAUGCGACAUCGAGGGAAGGCCGGUGCACCUCAAUUGCUUGAGGAAUUGACCGGACGAUCUCCAAGAAGUUGGAGUCGUGUUUGGGUGACGUCAAUGUUCCCCGGGUCACCACCAUGCUUCAUGGUGAUGCUAGAUCUCAAAUGUCUUCGUUUUGAGCGGAAAAAUGGAUGUCCAUGAGAAUUUCUCAAAAUUUGGACCAUUAUAUCUCUUCCAGGUUGACCAAUUUGGUCAAACCAAAGCCUAUAUGAGUUAGUAUCCCAAAUAUCAUGUUUGGCGACAACAUGAGAUUCGAUAUUCGAAUCAUAGUGACAUACAGUCCACUAGAUUGACUCAUGAAUUUCUCCAAGAUGCGCUUCAGUCCGCAUUCAUGAGAAGGUAUACACAAAAGAAUUCUUGUUCAUUCUCAUAAUGUGUUUUCAAAUGAAAACUAUUAGCAGGAAUGUCUUUAAAGCUCAAUAUGUUCGAUUACCUCUCAAUGCAUAGAGGGUAUCUGUGACAUUGAUCAUGGUGCCAUGAGGCAUCAAGAUUUAAGCUAAACCGCGUCCUUGAAUGACCGGUAUGAUUCAAUCAUUGUAGUCAUAGAAGCUUUACAAAGGCACAAAAUCCAAAGAUAGUUACCGGUUCCUUAGAAUGUUGUGGAUAGUUCCACUAUCUGCGAAGCACUCAAUGUCUCGAUGAGACAUAUCUACAAGAAGGAGUAGAUAGGCUAGUUAAUAAUUCCACUUGAACUAUUUAGAAGGAUUGAAAGAAACUACGAAAAGCUGCAAUCCCGAGAGUGCAUAAAAAUUUCCGCGCAGAAUGACCUUUGCGCACUAAAACAGCCAUAACUUCCUCGUUAAAAUAGAUAUGGACGAACCGCGAAAAUUUCUAAAAACUAGACUCAUAGAGCUUUCCAAUGAUAUAAAGCUCACUGUCUGGUUCAUCCUGAGCUGUUCACAAAGCUUAAACGAAGUUGACUGUCCAGAAGGGACAGAUUGCUGUUUUUCGCAGAAUUGGCAUGUGCGAAGCUGUGAAGCUUGCAAGUGGCGUGUAGGCUUUUGCCUUAGCCACAAGUGACGUGUGUAUGAUCAAAACCAAGUCCUUUCGAUCAUUCUAAGGUCGUAAACUCCAUGACUAGUUAGCAAAAGCUCCCUGACAUGUGCGAAGAAUUGGCAUGUGCGAAGCUGUGAAGCUUGCAAGUGGCGUGUAGGCUUUUGCCUUAGCCACAAGUGACGUGUGUAUGAUCAAAACCAAGUCCUUUCGGUCAUUCUAAGGUCGUAAACUCCAUAACUAGUUAACAAAAGCUCCCUGACAUGAACAUAAACUAACUCAGAGGACCUAAAGGAUUAGAUCAUGAUGAUAAUUUUCCGGUUUUUGAUAAGUCUUCAACGUCUUUUGCAAGACGACAAUUGGUAUAAUAGCGUAGGGGGAUCCAAAAUCAAAAGCUUUUGGUAACUCCAAGUCAGUAUGACCAGACAUAUCCGUGGAAGGUCGGUAGUGCGAGGCACACUUGAAACCACUAUCUCCUUAAUUUCGGACAAUUUUAAGACAUCACACUGAGCUUGGAUGAGCCUAGUUGAACAAUUGAUGAUGGAAAAUCCGCUAUAGGGUAGAAGACUUAACCGGAAACACGUGGGCGAUCCUCUUUGAGGAUGCAGUGCCAUGAGUCACCUUCAAAAGAAGGGACAAAAAUCCUCACAAUAUGCCAUGUCUCUAAGGACGAUGUAAGAAUAUACAUCUUUUUUGUAAAUCAAUAUGAACCAUAAGAGGAGAAUAGUUUCACUUCGAAAAAAUUCCCAAGGCAUUCAUUAUUGCUAAUGUGAGUAUAUAUCGAGGUCUCGAAUAAACAAAGGACAUCGAUACGAUGUCUUAUUACAUAUAGCUUGGAAAGAAAAUCAAUGUCUAGUCAGUGACAUCAAAGUCAGGGGUAGCUAGAGCUGUUGAUUUUUCGUACUUUUUGUAUGCAUUCAUAAUUUGAAGGAGCUUGACAAUCUUGAACCAGUGAUCCGAAGAUCCACAACGGUUGCAUUAUCUUGAGCUGACGUGAGUAGUUUUGACAAAAUGGUGUCUAGAUCGGGAGUGUCACUAUUAGAGCCGGCGACACCUCCCCCUCUUUUCUAGACAUUAGCACGAUGUUUUCUGCCGUUGCCAUAACCCAUAUUGUUGUCCCCACAUUAGGGGAUAAUCAUAAAUAAAUUUAUCACAUUAGCGUAUAUAUACAAUUCCCGUAUAUAUGAUCAAAAUCAAGUCUCGUUGGUAAUUCCAAACCAACUUGGAGGACCUAGAGAACUUGAUGAUGAUCGAAUCCGCUAAAGGUUAUGGAUCAUAAUGCCACAAAAGAUCAUCGACAAUAUGUAGUCAAUUAAAGUGGUAAGCAAUCAACUUGACUAAUAACUCAACAAGUAGAGUUAUAUGGACGUUUCAAGAAACGCUCCAUGAGUGCAUUCCACAGUACUUUAUGGUCAUUACUUUUUGCACAGAUUUCCAUUGAAUGCUUGUCGAUGUGGCGCGUCAAAAACUUUAAGCGCAGGAGAUGUGAAAUCUCGGCAUCUAGGCUUGUUAGCCUGGGGGUCAAAAUAUGUGGUUUAAUCCUUUCCAGUGAAAGGUUCCAUAGAUACCAAGCGAAGAUUCGCCUUAGGUAUCGAGUACGUUAAAACUCAAUGAGCAGAAUGUUACGUUGCUCUUGCAUACAAAACCAAGCUGUUAUGAGACUCGAUAGAGGUCACAAAUAAUGCUUUUAAUGGUUUGUCCUUCGGAUUGAUCAUACACAAUCCGGAAAAAGCCGCGAAUUGAUCAAACACAAUUCGGAAAAGGCCUCGGAUUGAUCAAACACAGUCCGGAGAAAGGUCGGGGUUGAUCAUACACAACCCGGACAAAGAAGCAAGAGUGAUCAAACACACUAUUGACCCGCAAAUAAAAUUCCGGGAUUUUUGGUACCUGCACACACAAAAUCCCAAGCAUAGAAUGGAGAUGGAGAAGGGAGGAAAUAAUUUUAUCCUCCCCGAGUUAUUGAACUUGAAAAAGUUUAAGGUUUCAAAACAUACCUUUCUGGUUUCUUUGGAAGACGAGCAAUCUUGAAAUCUUUGGUUUCUAGAGGCUGCCGAGAGGAGAAACAACGUUUUGCCUACUUAUACUUCGAAUUUGGGGCUGAAAAUUUGACAGGAGGAGCAGCUCUGGAUGGGGAAGCUGCUGUCAAAAUUUCAGGUUGAUCAGAGCAAGGGAAGGUGGCGAACCGGUGGUCGGUAGCGGUGGCGGUCUGGAAUCUUCUGGCGGCCGGUUCGGAGACUUUCUGGCCGGUUCUCAGGGUGAGGCCGGCGGCGUUGGAUCCGGGACGGAGAGAGCUUUCUGGGGAUGUAACAUUCUGGCAGAGGGCAGUCGGAAUUUUGGUCGGAAAUCGGGAAAAACAAGGCUGUCCGAUUUUAGGGUUUGGAAAACAAAUGGUGGGCUAUUGGCUCUAGGGUUAGAACAAAGUGCUGAUAACAUGAUGAAAUAUAAAGUGUAGAGAAAGAGAGAUAGCAAGAGAAUCAUCAUCUUAUUUAUUGAUAAGAGCCCUUUAUAUAGGGAAUUACACAAUACCAAUAUGGUAAGGAUAUGAAUACAUAGAUCUAGUUAAACUACAUAUCCUAUUGGCAUAAGGCCAAUGCACACAUAAAGAAUAUCUAGAAAGAUACAGAAUAUGGUUUUCUUUCUCAUCACAUUCCUCAUUUUAGAGAAAGUUUUGGAGAAUUUGUUGGAGUAAAACAACUAAAAUUCUCCCCAAAAUUUAGAAAUCCAAGAAUAUGGAUUAACUCCAACAGCUUCCUUAUAAAUUUCUAAAAUUGUUAGAGCAACUUCAACAGUUUCCUAU
This 5984-nucleotide long non-coding RNA is filed under the name Fragaria vesca (wild strawberry). Its description in RNAcentral is "long non-coding RNA (FVES_LNC003054)". The record is from RNAcentral. Lineage: Eukaryota; Viridiplantae; Streptophyta; Magnoliopsida; Rosales; Rosaceae.